RNAcentral lists this ribosomal RNA (253 nucleotides) under uncultured bacterium. RNAcentral describes it as "partial 16S ribosomal RNA". It matches the Rfam family "Bacterial small subunit ribosomal RNA", at positions 524 to 776 of the family's 1533-position model. The record is from RNAcentral.
UACGUAGGGUGCAAGCGUUGUCCGGAAUUAUUGGGCGUAAAGAGCUCGUAGGCGGUCUGUCGCGUCGGCUGUGAAAACUCGGGGCUCAACUCCGAGCUUGCAGUCGAUACGGGCAGGCUAGAGUUCGGCAGGGGAGACUGGAAUUCCUGGUGUAGCGGUGAAAUGCGCAGAUAUCAGGAGGAACACCGGUGGCGAAGGCGGCUCACUGGCCCGGUACUGACGCUGAGGUGCGAAAGCGUGGGGAGCAAACAGG